Molecule: ribosomal RNA, 520 nt
Filed under: uncultured Glomus
Lineage: Eukaryota; Fungi; Glomeromycota; Glomeromycetes; Glomerales; Glomeraceae
Description: SSU rRNA
Rfam family: Eukaryotic small subunit ribosomal RNA
Source: RNAcentral
AACAGCCGCGGUAAUUCCAGCUCCAAUAGCGUAUAUUAAAGUUGCUGCAGUUAAAAAGCUCGUAGUUGAAUUUCGGGACCAUCAUGUCGGUCGUGCCUCGGUACGUACUGGUAUUGUUGGUUUCUCCCUUCUGACGAACCAUAAUGUCAUUUAUUUGGUGUUGUGGGAAAUCAGGACUGUUACUUUGAAAAAAUUAGAGUGUUUAAAGCAGGCUCACGCUUGAAUACAUUAGCAUGGAAUAAUGAAAUAGGACGUUUGAUUCUAUUUUGUUGGUUUCUAGGAUCGACGUAAUGAUUAAUAGGGAUAGUUGGGGGCAUUAGUAUUCAAUUGUCAGAGGUGAAAUUCUUGGAUUUAUUGAAGACUAACUACUGCGAAAGCAUUUGCCAAGGAUGUUUUCAUUAAUCAAGAACGAAAGUUAGGGGAUCGAAGACGAUCAGAUACCGUCGUAGUCUUAACCAUAAACUAUGCCGACUAGGGAUCGGAUGAUGUUAAUUUUUAAUGACUCAUUCGGCGCCUUAAC